AUUCCAGCUCCAAUAGCGUAUACUAAAGUUGCUGCAGUUAAAAAGCUCGUAGUUGGAUUUCUGGUCGUGGUCGCCGGUCGUGCCCAAACGGGUUCUGUACCUGGCGCCCGCGUCCAUCCUCGGGGAGAGCGUGUCUGGCAUUAAGUUGUCGGGCUCGGGACCCCCGUCAUUUACUGUGAGCAAAAUAGAGUGUUCAAAGCAGGCUUAGGCCAUGAAUACAUUAGCAUGGAAUAAUAAGAUAAGACCUUGGUCUAUUUUGUUGGUUUGCAUUCCAAGGUAAUGAUUAAUAGGGAUAGUUGGGGGUAUUCGUAUUUAAUUGUCAGAGGUGGAAUUCUCGGAUUUGUUAAAGACUAACUUAUGCGAAAGCAUUUGCCAAGGAUGUUUUCAUUA
Molecule: ribosomal RNA, 390 nt
Filed under: Synura sp.
Lineage: Eukaryota; Synurophyceae; Synurales; Mallomonadaceae
Description: partial small subunit ribosomal RNA
Rfam family: Eukaryotic small subunit ribosomal RNA
Source: RNAcentral